CGCAAUGAUAACUUGUGAACUCGGCCAGGCCUGGAAGGGAGCAACCGCAGCAAGUGACUCAUGUGCCG
This 68-nucleotide signal recognition particle RNA is filed under the name Shewanella marinintestina. Its description in RNAcentral is "signal recognition particle sRNA small type". It matches the Rfam family "Bacterial small signal recognition particle RNA", at positions 13 to 80 of the family's 97-position model. From Rfam's summary of the family: The signal recognition particle (SRP) is a universally conserved ribonucleoprotein involved in the co-translational targeting of proteins to membranes. Archaeal SRP consists of a 7S RNA and homologues of the eukaryotic SRP19 and SRP54 proteins. RNAcentral also lists the same sequence under 1 other name. Lineage: Bacteria; Pseudomonadati; Pseudomonadota; Gammaproteobacteria; Alteromonadales; Shewanellaceae. The record is from RNAcentral.